CUCUGUUCUGGGCAUGCACUUCGCGCAUGCCCAGAACAGGCCAGGCACAAACGCACGCUUGGUGUCCGUCCACGGACGGACACCAAGCGUUUUAUUAGAGAGGAUUGAUUCAAAAUACCUGAUCAGCUCUAUGUCUGCUGUUCAAAGUACUAUUGCUCAGACAAUUCCUCCCCCCGCCUGCCACCAAAAGGGGGAUUUUGAUCACUGUGUCCUUUUUACAAGCUUGCAAUAUUAAGUGGGGGAGGGGGAGCAAUUUCAUGUAUUACAGGACAUUGAUAGAUGAAACUGACACUGUAUGUUAAACAAAAAGGUAUCCUGUCCUUUAAAAAGAUAAAAAUAAAAAUGCAGUACCAAAGUCCCUGAGCUCUGUAUAGAGCAUACAAAUUAUUUACAACAUUCAGUUAAUGUGGAUGAGGGACAAGAAACCUAAAGGUAAAGCCACUGCAUGUCUAUCAGUUAUCCCACUCUGACUUCAGAAGUAGCAACAGGUGUUUAUUAUAGAAUUCUGAGCCUAUUUACACAGCUAUAGAUGCUGGAAACUUCCUAUACAGUAUAUAAAAACAAGGAGUCUUGAGUAUUUCAGAAUGCCCAAUUGCUUGCACUUCAGGCAUUGUAUGGUAUUACAGAACACAUCUUGCAAAGCUAAAUCUGAGUUUUGUAUUAUAGCAAAUGCACAGAUAUUCAAUUUAUAGCUUGCUCUGCCAAAGUUUGGGAAGCAUUUAAAAUGAAGAGAUUAAGUUGUAUAUGUAGCUGGUUAUUUUGAGUGGCAAAGGGAAGUCUUGCAGCAUGUGAGGGAUGGGGCAAGAAUGACCAUGAACGAUCCUCAACAUGGCAUUUAUAUCCAUGCUUUAUGUUCUGGUGCAGUACAGGGGAAAGUGAAGCUUAGUGGGAUAAGUCACUGUCAGCAUCCUGAAUUUUUCAACUGCUUGUAACUAUGGGAAGUGCCUUUAGGAAGCUGUGGCUGUAAUGUUGAAGGAAUCAGUCUCCAUGUUCUAGUUCCUCAUGUGAGCAAUGCCUCUGCAUACAGAGUGUGUUCCAUGAAGCAUGUUGAACUGAUGCUAUGUUAUGUACCAGAAGAGCAGCUUUCUCCUAAAAGCAAACCAGCCAAGCAGGUUUACUUGGCACCUGUUUGAUUUCAAGACCAUAAACUAAGAAAAGUGUGUUUUUCUAGGGUCCUAGGAUCAGGCAUUACCAGCUUACUCUGCCAAUAAAGGAUGAACACAAACAUAUCUUGUGCAACGAAGUGUGCUAUGAUGCUGGAAAUAGAUAAAACAUGAUUACCAUCAACUAGAAAAGGAAGAACUUGCACCAUAUUUUCAAUGGUCAAACUGAGUUGGUUGUAGCAUCUUAAACAGACCUUGGGUAUGUCCAGGUAUAUCCCUCAUCUUGUUUUUAGUUUGAUCUCUAUUUCCCCAAACCAACUAUUUGCAGGUUUCUCAUAAUAAGCCCUUCUUCUAGGAGCCAAAAGCUCUAAUUAUAUACACACCUUGAUAAUGUCUUCCAGUUUAUUGAACAAGCUGGGUGGGAGACAGGGGCGUAACUACUAUUAGGCAAGGGGGAGGCGGCUGCCUAAGGGCCCGCACGCCACAAGGGGCCCCCCAGAUGCAAGUCACAUGACUAUAUAUUGUGAAAAGUGUGUGUGUGUGUGUGUGUGUGUGUGUGUGUAUUGAGCCCCUGGUGGCGCAGUGGUAAAACUGCCGCCCUGUAACCAGAAGGUUACAAGUUCGAUCCUGACCAGGGGCUCAAGGUUGACUCAGCCUUCCAUCCUUCCGAGGUCGGUAAAAUGAGUACCCAGAAUGUUGGGGGCAAUAUGCUAAAUCAUUGUAAACCGCUUAGAGAGCUCCGGCUAUAGAGCGGUAUAUAAAUGUAAGUGCUAUUGCUAUGUGUAUCAGCGAGGGGCCCAUUUUAAAAUUUUGUCUCUGGGCCCACUCCAGCCUUGUUACGCCCCUGGUGGGAGAUGCUAAGAAAAGUAGUGGACAACAUAAAGGGGUAUUUCAUCCUAAAAGAUAAAAGGGGGCAAUGGAGGAUGAGUGAGAUAAUGGCUGGGGAAAAUGGGGAACACCUAUAGCAGUCAUGCAAGGCUUGCACUUGUAAUGCAGAGAGAAAAAGCACUGGCAUGCAAAGGCUGACAGAUCUAGUCUGCAGUAUGGAUAAUCCCAUCUUCAUGUGAAUAGUGGUACGAGGCAAAAUAAAGCACCCAAAGAGUUUGUUUGUCUAGGUGCAACUAUUGUUAGUGGCAAGAAGCUCCCUUUAGACCUUACAGAUACAAAGGAAGCCACAUUUACCUUCACUGAAAAGGGCUUGUGGAUUUUAACUUCCUGAGAAUUUAUGAUCCACUCCAUAGUGAUGAAAUGACCAUUAAUAGGACAGGAAAAGUCCUCUUAGACUAGUCUUGCCUCUGCAUCACAUUAGCAUGGUAUAGUGCUACAGUGAAGACUAGAACUGGGAUUUGGCAUUUCAAAGCCCUGUAAUGAGAUCCAGGUAUUUCGAGGCUCCAGUUUCCCUUUGAAAUACUAGGCAAAUUGUACUCCAAAAAUGGCAAGCAUGAUUUAAAAACUCAAAAGUGAUUAUAUUCUCAGGUCUUUUACUAAGGAAGAAAGUAUGAAUAGCCUGGUUCUUGCUCCCACAACAAGAUGUUGGCCUUCUGGCUUCUCCAAGGAUACACAAUUCCCACCUUUAGACUUUUUUCACAGUUUAAUUUUCAGGGCUUUCCAACAUUAUAAUCAUUUUGGAUCUAUAAACAAACAAGCAACAUUUGGCUCCAUUACAACUCUUUGAGUAAAAUCAGAACAGCCAUAGAAGGUUAGAACAAUGACAUUUAAUAUUCUUCCACCACUAAAGGAUUUUCACCUUUUUUCCUCUACCACAACAAUGUGUUAUUUUCAUAUACAUUAUAUUUCAUAAAAUGUACUGAUAUGGGAAAAAAGCAUGGGUUUAGUUCUAUUUACAUAUUUUAAUUCAAACAUCUUUAUAACAUUGAAAAAUAGAAACUUAAAUUUUUUUUUUAAAUUGUGUUUUCACCCAGUUCAGUGGUAAACAAUUGCAUGCCUGUAAGUUGAACUUCCUUUAAAACUUGGUCAAUUGAAAGUUUCUAACUAAACUGUGGUUCUCUGUUCAAAAAAUACAUAAGUAUGUCAUUUCUGAUACAAAAUUCUACACUAUCUUCAAUAAAUAAAUAAUAAAGUGAUUCUUAAAA
Molecule: long non-coding RNA, 3196 nt
Organism: Hemicordylus capensis (graceful crag lizard)
Lineage: Eukaryota; Metazoa; Chordata; Lepidosauria; Squamata; Cordylidae
Exons: 2
Source: RefSeq, a predicted model, not a curated record